AUUGAACGCUGGCGGCAUGCUUUACACAUGCCAGUCGAACGGCAGCGCGGGCUUCGGCCUGGCGGCGAGUGGCGAACGGGUGAGUAAUACAUCGGAACGUGCCCAGUAGUGGGGGAUAGCUCGGCGAAAGCCGGAUUAAUACCGCAUACGACCUGAGGGUGAAAGCGGGGGAUCCUCGGACCUCGCGCUAUUGGAGCGGCCGAUGGCAGAUUAGCUAGUUGGUGGGGUAAAGGCCUACCAAGGCGACGAUCUGUAGCUGGUCUGAGAGGACGACCAGCCACACUGGGACUGAGACACGGCCCAGACUCCUACGGGAGGCAGCAGUGGGGAAUUUUGGACAAUGGGCGAAAGCCUGAUCCAGCAAUGCCGCGUGUGUGAUGAAGGCCUUCGGGUUGUAAAGCACUUUUGGCGGGAACGAAAAGGACUGUGCCAAUACCACGGUUCGAUGACGGUACCCGCAGAAUAAGCACCGGCUAACUACGUG
Molecule: ribosomal RNA, 484 nt
Filed under: uncultured bacterium
Lineage: Bacteria
Description: partial 16S ribosomal RNA
Rfam family: Bacterial small subunit ribosomal RNA
Source: RNAcentral